GUGCUUGUUUUGGCAACACAUACACUAAAACUGGAAUGAGUCAGAGAAAAUUAGCAAGGCCCCUGCACAAGGAUGCACAUUGGUGAAGUGUUCCAUAUUCUU
Monodelphis domestica (gray short-tailed opossum) is the source of this 102-nucleotide small nuclear RNA. Lineage: Eukaryota; Metazoa; Chordata; Mammalia; Didelphimorphia; Didelphidae. The record is from Ensembl.